RNAcentral lists this long non-coding RNA (9699 nucleotides) under Populus tremula. Its description in RNAcentral is "long non-coding RNA (PTRE_LNC001669)". The record is from RNAcentral. Lineage: Eukaryota; Viridiplantae; Streptophyta; Magnoliopsida; Malpighiales; Salicaceae.
UUGGGGCCAGAUUAAGUGGGGAGGGGGUUUGGUUUUUUCUCGUCAUUGCUUUACUGUUUGAGUAAUGGCAGGAUUUAAUAUUGUGAUGUAAAUUUGGAAAAAAUUGCUUUAUUCUUUAUGCUCGUUCUUUGCUUCAAUACUGGAGGUUUACAUUCUGUACAGACUGCAAUGACAAGGAAAGAAAUAUAUGAACUUGAAAAGCAGCAGGAUUGCCUUUAGGCAAAAUAACCUGUAUGUUGUUCUGGUUUUUCAGAGAAACAUGAUCCAUCAUCCUUCUAUACCUUUGUAUGGAUGUAUAGGUACGUUAUGGAGCAACAUCAUGCUCCCAAUGUAGGCAAUUGGGUCUUGGUUAGAAACUAUAGAAACAAAUUGAAAAAAAAAUACAGCAGAAAUAAAAAAGAAAAAAAAAAUCCAGAUUUCCUUUUCUGAAGACUCGAAAAGAUUUAGCUGUGCAUGAAUAAGAAGACUCAAUAUUUUUUCAACUUCUUUUAUUAUCUGUGCUGAUGAAUUUGUUGAAGUCUCUUCCUAUGCUUUUGGCUGCCAUCUCAAGUUCAAGCCCGCUGCUUUCUGGCAGAAACUUGAUAGUGAAGGAAAUUACCAAUCAUCUUGAUUGUGAAGGAACUCAUUAUCAUGAUUGUAGAGCAUUGCAGGAUAGACUGGAUCUUGCAAAAACCUCUGUACAGUUGAUCGGGUGAAAAAGCCAGUAUCUGGAGUUCGUAUCCUGCAGGACAAGUUCCCGACAAGCUUCUUGAAUUCUGUAUGGAAUUUAUGCAAUUGGCAGUCAAAAGUAGGAUUUAGGCCACUAGUGAUGAACCACUUCCCAACGAAAUCUACAACAUUAAAGUUCUUGACAAGAAUGGCAGGAUCAGGGACGGAAUUCCAACAUCAGACUUCUAAGGUACACACUUCUUUCAUGAGAUGAACACUCAUUGAAUUCAUCAACUACUCAAAAGCUUGAUCUGCAAAAUAUCUAAAGAGGGUUACCCGUUGAAUAACAUUAUCUAUCUCACCAGGUAUAAGGUAGAACAAGAUUAUUGGACAAUCAAACACUCAAAAGCUUAAGCUGAUAGAGAGGGGUUUGUUUGUUCUAAAAGAGAUGUUACACUGUUUCCUUUAAAAGCUUAUUCUGUUAGUGAUCAUUCUGCUUAUACAUAUUCUUUCUGCAGUAUCUGCGAGCAUCUCAAGAGAAAGAACAGAACUUACCUGGCAUUCAUCUGCAGUAUGGAUGCAAGCAACAUUAGCUGCACAGUAUGGGUUUGCAAUGCACCUUGCCAAUUCUAGCCUGACAAUAACAAGCUGGUAAGUAAAAGGUAAUGAUGAAGGAUCAAAAUGCACUUGCUGGUUAAAUGGAAGGAAAUCCCUUUGCUACCAAAAAUUUCAACAACUAAUUCCCAUCAAUACCACCACCUCCUCAUCAAAUCUCAAUAAUAACAUGUUUUUGGACAUGGCAGUGAUGGUGGAGGCACAAGGGGAGCAGAUGGAUGAUAUUGAGCACCAUGUGUUGAAAGCUAGUCACUAUGUGAAGGAUGGUACCAAAGAGCUCAAGAGUGCUAAAGAUCACCAGAAGAGCAGCAGGAAAUGGAUGUGUAUCGGUAUCAUUCUCCUUUUGAUAAUCAUUCUUGUGAUUGUUAUACCUAUUGUUACUAGCUUUAGCUACUCUUGAAUUGGAGGGCCUUAUGGAGGAUUUAAUGACCUGUUAUUCCUUAUUUUGGGGCCAGAUUAAGUGGGGAGGGGGUUUGGUCUCUUGUCAUUGAGUAAUGGUAGGAUUUAAUGUUGUGAUGUAAAUUUGGAAAAAUUGUUUUAUUCUUUAUGCUCGUUCUUUGCUCCAAUACUGGAAGUUUACAUUCUGUACAGAUAGUUGUUUUAGAACAGGUGUCUGCAAUGACUUUUAGGGAAAGAAAUAUAUGAACUUGAAAAGCAGCAUGAUUGCCUUUAGGCAAGAUAACCUGUAUGCUGUUCUGGUUUUUCAGAGAAACAUGAUCCGUCAUCCUUCUUUACCUUUGUAUGGGUGCGUUUUUGGAGCAACUUCAUGAUCCAAUGUAAGGUACGUUAUGGAGCAACAUCAUGAUUCAAUGUAGGGAAUUCAGGACGCAAUUGGGUCUUGGUUAGAAACUAUAUAAACAAAUUGAAAAAAGAAAUGCAGCAGAAAUAAAAAAAUUUCCUUUUCUCUGCCUGGGAUGGUUGCAAGGAAACUAGACAUUUAUAACUAUGUAAGUUGUCUCUGCAACAGAAAAAAAUUCAGUUGCAUUGAUCUCUCAAGUGAAAAUCAUGGAGUAGUUUUUUUAGCUCAUGGGCUUGGCUAGCUUUUGAGGCAUAAGUAAUAAUAAGGUCACAAGUUGUCAUGAUUAGGAGAGAAUUUCUUUCCUCAACUAAGCUUGCCUUCCUGCACACAACAAUCUUCUUCUUUCAUGUCUUGUCAUCAGAUGGCUUCCCUUCACCAAAUGGCACAUCAGGUUUUCCUUGAUCUCCUCCAUCCUUUUCUGUUUCUUUUCUAGUAUUCAUAUGCUUUGAAUAAUUAAAUAACAAAAAUGGAAGAAGUUUCUAUGUAUGUGCCCUUGGCUCUAACAACGAACUUUAAUUGCAGGUAACUGCGUCUUGGACUUCAAGGAAUUCCCUUACGAACCAACCGGCGAGUGCAUAGGCCACCAGGAGAAAAUCAAGGACUGGACAGCUUCAGCACAACAUUAUGCUGUCGUAAUCUGCUCAACGAUCUGACCAAACUCUUAGCGUCGCGUGCAGUAUCGAACCCAAAUGUUGACAUCUUGAUUCCAAAAGAUCAAUGGAUGGAAUGUAUCCAUGGCUUUCCUGGACAAAACUCUGUAUCACCGGCUUCUUGUGGGUUUUUGAUGACCUCUACAAUGAGAGAAGUGCUUGCUUGAGAUUUUCUUUGUCAUCGAUAACGGAACAGUGGUAUUACAAAAAAGCAUUAGCCUCGUGUACGAAUUUUAGCUCUUCAUACGAUUAUGGGUGUAGCAGCUGCAUAGAGGCAAUAUCCGAUUUCAGGGAUUAUCAGUUACGAAUAUCAAAUGUCAGCGCUAAUGACAAGAAGGCAAAAAUAGCAUGUGGGGUGGCAGUUCUUAUUUCUGUUGUGGCUGAAAAUUUGAAGAAUAGCGCUUGGAUUGAUGAUUUCUACAGGUGUUUGCCAGCUUCAGAUGCAUUCAGUAAGGGCCAUUACUCCUUCUUUUAACUCUUAUUUCUCGAUUUACCUCCCAUUUCACUUCCUGAUGCUUAGAGAAUUGUCUAUGAACAGAUGAAGGAUACACGCAAAUCAAAUGUAAGUACAACUAUUCUGUUUUCUCAUUGAAAGAGUUUAUUCAUUUCUUGGAAUUUUAUAUGGUCGCGUGGAUCAUCUUGUGAAGGAUAAACACUCAUAAAGAUCUUUAGCUUAUCAGAUUCUCUGGUGAAAGUGGUAUUUGGUAUUUUUAUAGCAAUCAUCACAUUGUUGCUGGUCUAUCAGUAUCCUUCUCCUUUUGAUAAUCAUUCUUGUGAUUGUUAUACCUAUUGUUACUAGCUUUAGCUACUCUUGAAUUGAAGGGUCUUAUGGAGGAUUUAAUGACCUGUUAUUUCUUAUGGCUUUCUUGCUUUACUUUUGGAGGAUAUGCUUGAAUCCCUUAUUUUAGGGCCAGAUUAAGUGCGGAGGGGGUUUGGUUUUCUCUCGUCAUUGCUUUUCUCUUUUGAGUAAUGGUGGGAUUUAAUGUUGUGGUGUAAAUUUAGAAAAAUUGCUUUAUUCUUUAUGCUCGUUCUUUGCUCCAAUCCUGGAAUAUACAGACAGUUGUUUUAGAACAGGUGUCUGCAAUGACUUUUAGGGAAAGAAAAAUAUGAACUUGAAAAGCAGCAGGAUUUAGCUGUGCAUUUCUGAAAUAAUAAAAGGCAUGAAUAAGACGACUCAAUAUUUUCUUUUAAGUUGUACUAUAUCUAAACUUCGCUUCCAUUUUCAGAUCACUCAACGUAUCAUAUCCAUUUCUUCUUUACUUGGUUUUCUUAAGAAAACCUCCUCGUCUUUUUGGAGUUUAUAAAUCCUUCUGCCAAUCUCCGGAACAAGCUCAACUCAGUCUACCUAUAUUAUGAAAAGGAGGGGGUUUGGUUUUCUUCCUCUCAGUUUCUUCAACUUCCUUUAUUAUCUGUGCCUUUCCUCUUCUAUUUCUUCAACUUCCUUUAUUAUCUGUGCUGAUGAAUUUGUUGAAGUCUCUACGGGCUGCCAUCUCAAGUACAAGCACGAUGCUUUCUGGCAGAACUGCACUUCUUGUGUACACACCGUCCCAUGCAUCAUUUCUGCCUCGGUAGUACACAAAUAUGUAAUCAUCUAGUUUAUUUUCUAUCUUCGAUUGACAGAAUAUAUCUGGAGACAUAAUUAUAAUAGCCAUUAAUCUAUCUAGUUUCUGAUGCUUAAUGAUGACUCAGCAUUAUAUUUUUGCAGGAAGUACUUGAAAUGGUUUGACUUGAAUCCACAAUGAAAUUGACCAAAAAAAAUAAAGGAGAAUGGGGAGAAGGAGACCAGUCAUCUUAAUAGUGAAGGAACUCAUUGUCAUGAUUGUAGAGCAUUGCAGGACACACUGGAUCUUGCACAAACCUAUGUACAGUUGAUCGGGUGAAAAGGCUGCUAGUGACGAACCACUUCCCAACGAAAUCUGCAACAUUAAAGUUCUUGACAAGAAAGGCAGGAUUAGGGACGGAAUCCCCGAACAUCAGACUUCUGAGGUACACACUUAUUUCAUGAGACUGCACACUCAUUGAAUUCAUCAACAAGAAAAUGACAAGCAAAGAAGAAAAAAGAAAAGGAAUCAAAGAAGAAGCAUUUACUAAAAUCAUCAAGAAAUAUUUACAUACAUUGAAAGAAGAAUACAAGCAUCAUCUAAGUUAGCAGCUGAAAACUGUGAGCUGUAUCAACAAUGACAUUGGGUUCUUAAGGGUACAAAACUUAAACACGGUGAGAAAUGGGGAGGGGGGGGCUAACCUUGAGCAAGAGGUGGAGCUUUUCAUGGCAGCAAGGGAAAAAAUGGAUGCAGAGUGCCAAAAAUAGGUGAAAAAAAAGCGCGCGGAGGUCUGGGAAGGCAGCGAAGGUGGAAAAGACAGACAUCAUCAUGUGGACUCAAACCAUGUAACGUAUUCAUUUUCUUCCUCGUCUCUGUUUUUUAGUUAGUUACUAGUGAUUUUCUUUUAGGAUGUCACAUUCCAGUUUGAAAUAUAUUUUUAUUUAGUUUUUUAUUACUAUUAAAAAAAUAUUUAUGAGAUAUACAAUUGUUAAAAUUCUAGACAGAAAAAAUACAUAUUCUAAAAAUAUAUAUAUUUUGUUAAACUAAUUAUUCUUUUCUUAUUCAUAUAUUUUUUUAUUUGAUUAAACAUAUUAUUUAUUAGGAGUUCAUUUUUGAAUACCUAUUGUCUAGCUUUAGCUACUCUUGAAUUGGAGGGCCUUAUGGAGGAUUUAAUGACCUGUUAUUCCUUAUGGCUUUCUUGCUUUACUUUUGGAGGAUAUGCUUUAAUCCCUUAUUUUGGGGUCAGAUUAAGUGGGGAGGGGGUUUGGUUUUCUCUCGUCAUUGCUUUUCUCUUUGAGUAAUGGUAGGAUUUAAUGUUGUGAUGUAGAUUUAGAAAAAUUGCUUUAUUCUUUAUGCUCGUUCUUUGCUCCAAUCCUGGAAGUUUACAUUCUGUACAGACAAUUUUAGAAGAGGUGUCUUUAGGGAAAGAAAAGUAUGAACUUGAAAAGCAACAGGAUUUCCUUUAGGCAAGAUAACCUGCAUGUUGUUCUGGUUUUUCAGAGAAACAUGAUCUAUCAUCCUUCUUUACCUUUGUAUGGAUGUAUAGGUACGUUAUGGAGCAACAUCAUGCUCCAAUGUAGGAAAUUCAGGAGGCAAUUGGGUCUUGGUUAGAAACUAUAGAAACAAAUUGAAAAAAGAAAUGCAGCUUUCCUUUUCUGGAGACUCGAAAAGAUUUAGCUGUGCAUUUCUGAAAUAAAAAAAGGCAUGAAUAAGAAGACUCCAUAUUUUCUUUUAAGUUGAACUCUAUCUAAACUUCGCUUCCAUUUUCAGAUCACUCAACAUAUCAUAUCCAUUUCUUCUUUACUUGGUUUUCUUAAGAAAACCUCGUCGUCUUUUUGGAGUUAAUAAAUCCUUCUGCCAAACUCUCGGGAACAAGCUCAACUCAGUCUACCUAUAUUAUCAAAAAGAGUGGGUUUGGUUUUCUUCAACUUCCUUUAUUAUCUGUGCUGAUGAAUUUGUUGAAGUCUCUACGGGCUGCCAUCUCAAGUUCAAGCACGAUGCUUUCUGGCAGAACUGCACUUCUUGUGUACACAACGUCCCAUUAAGUGGGGAGGGGGUUUGGUUUUCUCUCGUCAUUGCUUUUCUCUUUUGAGUAAUGGUGGGAUUUAAUGUUGUGAUGUAAAUUUGGAAUAAUUGCUUUAUUCUUUAUGCUCGUUCUUUGCUUCAAUACUGGAGGUUUACAUUCUGUGCAGACAGUUGUUUUAGAACAGGUGUCUGCAAUGACUUUUAGGGAAUAAAUAUUAUGACUUGAAAAGCAGCAGAUUGCCUUUAGGCAAGAUAACCUGUAUGUUCUGGUUUUUCAGAGAAACAUGAUCCAUCAUCCUUCUUUACCUUUGUAUGGGUGCGUUUUUGGAGCAACUUCAUUAUCCAAUGCAAGGUACGUUAUGGAGCAACAUCAUGAUCCGAUGUAGGGAAUUCAGGAGGCAAUUGGGACUUGGUUAGAAACCAUAGAAACAAAUUGAAAAAAGAAAUGCAGCAGAAAUAAAAAAGAAAAAAAAAAUCCAGAUUUCCUUUUCUGGAGACUCAAAAAGAUUUAGCUGUGCAUGAAUAAGAAGACUCAAUAUUUUUUCAACUUCUUUUAUUAUCUGUGCUGAUGAAUUUGUUGAAGUCUUCCUAUGCUUUUGGCUGCCAUCUCAAGUUCAAGCCCACUGCUUUCUAGCAGAAACUUGAUAGUGAAGGAAAUUACCAGUCAUCUUGAUUGUGAGGGGAACUCAUUGUCAUGAUUGUAGAGCAUUGCAGGAUAGACUGGAUCUUGCAAAAACCUCUGUACAGUUGAUCGGGUGAAAAAGCCAGUAUCUAGGGUUCGUAUCCUCCAGGACAAGUUCCCGACAAGCUUGUUGGAUUCUGUAUGAAAGUUAUGCAAUUGGCAGUCAAAAGUAGGAUUUAGGCCACUAGUGAUGAACCAACUUCCCAACGAAAUCUGCAACAUUAAAGUUCUUGACAAGAAUGGCAGGAUCAGGGACGAAAUUCCAACAUCAGACUUCUGAGGUACAAGUAAUAAUAAGGUCACAAGUUGUCAUGAUUAGGAGAGGAUUUCUUUCCUCAACUAAGCUUGCCUUCCUGCACACAACAAUCUUCUUCUUUCAUGUCUUGUCAUCAGAUGGCUUCCCUUCACCAAAUGGCACAUCAGGUUUUCCUUGAUCUCCUCCAUCCUUUUCUUUUUCUUUUCUAGUAUUCAUAUGCUUUGAAUAAUUAAAUAACAAAAAAUGGAAGAAGUUUCUAUGUAUGUGCCCUUGGCUCUAACAACGAACUUUAAUUGCAGGUAACUGCGUCUUGGACUUCAAGGAAUUCCCUUACGAACCAACCGGCGAGUGCAUAGGCCACCAGGAGAAAAUCAAGGACUGGACAGCUUCAGCACAACAUUAUGCUGUCGUAAUCUGCUCAACGAUCUGACCAAACUCUUAGCGUCGCGUGCAGUAUCGAACCCAAAUGUUGACAUCUUGAUUCCAAAAGAUCAAUGGAUGGAAUGUAUCCAUGGCUUUCCUGGAGAAAACUCUGUAUCACCGGCUUCUUGUGGGUUUUUGAUGACCUCUACAAUGAGAGAAGUGCUUGCUAGAGAUUUUCUUUGUCAUCGAUAACGGAACAGUGGUAUUACAAAAAAGCAUUAGCCUCGUGUACGAAUUUUAGCUCUUCAUACGAUUAGAGGCAAUAUCCGAUUUCAGGGAUUAUCAGUUACGAAUAUCAAAUGUCAGCGCUAAUGACAAGAAGACAAAAAUAUUAUGUGGGAUGGCAGUUCUUAUUUCUGUUGUGGCUGAAAAUUUGAAGAAUAGCGAUUGAUGAUUUCUACAGGUGUUUGCCAGCUUCAGAUGCAUUCAGUAAGGGCCAUUGCUGCUUCUUUUAUAUCUUAUUUCUCGAUUUACUUCCCAUUUCACUUCCUUAUGCUUAGAGUAUUGUCUAUGAACAGAUAAAGGAUACAAGCAAAUCAAAUGUAAGUACAACUAUUCUGUUUUCUCAUUGAAUCAUUUCUUGGAAUUUUAUUUGGUCGCGUGGAUCAUCGUGUGAAGGAUAAACACUCAUAAAGAUCUUUAGCUUAUCAGAUUCUCUGGUGAAAGUGAUAUUUUCUUUUUUUAUAGCAAUCAUCACAUUGUUGCUGGUCUUUCUUCUGAUAAAAUACGUGAGCAAGGGCAAGAAGAAGCGCCCUAAACCUGUAACUCCAUCUAAAGAGAGGAGUUCUUGAAACGUGCAAUCCAGGAGCAUGGGAAAGGGAAGGUGUUGGAGACUGUGGUGGAGAUACAGGACAGGCAUGAUGCUGCCAAAGAGAUUGAGUUGGAGCUGCACCAGGUGUUUUUGGACAUGGCAGUGAUGGUGGAGGCACCAGAUGGAUGAUAUUGAGCACCAUGUGUUGAAAGCUAGUCACUAUGUGAAGGAUGGUACCAAAGUGCUCAAGGGUGCUAAAGAUCACCAGAAGAGCAGCAGGAAAUGGAUGUGUUUCGGUAUCAUUCUCCUUUUGAUAAUCAUUCUUGUGAUUGUUAUACCUAUUGUUACUAGCUUUAGCUACUCUUGAAUUGAAGGGUCUUAUGGAGGAUUUAAUGACCUGUUAUUCCUUAUGGCUUUCUUGCUUUACUUUUGGAGGAUAUGCUUGAAUCCCUUAUUUUGGGGCCAGAUUAGGUGUUGGAGACUGUGGUGGAGAUACAGGACAGGCAUGAUGCUGCCAAAGAGAUUGAGAAGAGCUUGUUGGAGCUGCACCAGGUGUUUUUGGACAUGGCAGUGAUGGUGGAGGCACAAGGCGAGCAGAUGGAUGAUAUUGAGCACCAUGUGUUGAAAGCUAGUCACUAUGUGAAGGAUGGUACCAAAGAGCUCAAGAGUGCUUAAAGAUCACCAGAAGAGCAGCAGGAAAUGGAUGUGUAUCGGUAUCAUUCUCCUUUUGAUAAUCAUUCUUGUGAUUGUUAUACCUAUUGUUACUAGCUUUAGCUACUCUUGAAUUGGAGGGCCUUAUGGAGGAUUUAAUGACCUGUUAUUCCUUAUGGCUUUCUUGCUUUACUUUUGGAGGAUAUGCUUGAAUCCCUUAUUUUGGGGCCAGAUUAAGUGGGGGGAGGGGAGGGGGUUUGGUUUUCUCUCGUCAUUGCUUUUCUCUUUGAGUAAUGGUAGGAUUUAAUGUUGUGAUGUAAAUUUAGAAAAGUUGCUUUAUUCUUUAUGCUUUGCUUCAAUACUGGAUGUUUACAUUCUGUACAGACUGCAAUGACUUUUAGGGAAAGAAAAAUAAGAACUUGAAAAGCAGCAGGAUUAUUGCCUUUAGGCAAGAUAACCUGUAUGUUGUUCUGUUUUUUCAGAGAAACAUGAUCCAUCAUCCUUCUUCUCCUUUGUAUGGGUGCGUUUUUGCAGCAACUUCAUGAUCCAAUGUAAGGUACGUUAUGGAGCAACAUCAUGAUCCAAUGUAGGGAAUUCAGGAGGCAAUUGGGUCUUCGUUAGAAACUAUAGAAACAAAUUGAAAUAAGAAAUGUAGCAG